This is an RNA transcript of Zea mays, 709 nucleotides long. It is a transcript of the gene named protein-like pseudogene, with no coding region annotated. Lineage: Eukaryota; Viridiplantae; Streptophyta; Magnoliopsida; Poales; Poaceae. The transcript has a single exon. The record is from RefSeq and is marked validated.
AUGCCCGCCGCCGGUGUAACGCGCGGGGCCGGCUAUAUAUGCACGCAAUACACAGCCUGGACCCGGCCGGCCGCGUGUCGGCUCUCCACUAGCAGCCGCUGCAGCUCCACCAUGGAGGCCGCGGGGCCUGCGAAGCCGGACCACCACCCCGCAGCCGCAGCCAAGGAGGGGGCCGGCUGCCCGCGGCGGUCUGCGCCGUGGUCGUCGUGGCUGUCCGCCGCGGCCGCGGGGCUCGUCGCGGUGGGGCUCGGUGGCGCGGCGCUGCUGGUGUGGUGGGCGCUGGCGUUCCACCCGGCGAACGCGCGGCUCUGGAUGGUGCCCGCGGGGCUCGUCCUCCUCGGCACGCCCGUCCUGGCCUGGCUCUCCCUCCUCGGCUCCGGCCCGUGCGGCCGCCAGGCCGCGCCACCGCCCGAUGCUGGCGUGUACGCGUCAGCUUAGCUUGCUGCUGCCUGCCCGUACUGCUUUUUUCGUGUGUGUGCGCGCGCGCGAUCGAUGUUCAAUUCAUGCCCAGCUACUUCGGCGCUUGCUUGUACAUACAUGUUUCAUCAGAGCACCGCCCGUAGUUUAGUUUCGUUAUUGCUUCUUCACAAUUUUGUAAUCGGAUGAACAUAUAUACACCCUAUGCUUACAUGUACAUGCAUGUUUCCUUCCGCUGGUUAAUCUCUUCGGUACUUGGAUCUUAUAAAGAAAAAUAUAAAUAUGCGUUCUU